This 427-nucleotide ribosomal RNA is filed under the name Ixodes scapularis (black-legged tick). Its description in RNAcentral is "partial 12S ribosomal RNA". The record is from RNAcentral. Lineage: Eukaryota; Metazoa; Arthropoda; Arachnida; Ixodida; Ixodidae.
UAAAAAAUUUUGGCGGUAUUUUAAGCUUAUUAGAGGAAUUUGCUCUGUGAUGGACACAACGCCUUAAUCUUACUUAAUUUAGUAAUUUAAAUCAGUUUGUAUACCACUAUAUUAAUUAUAUUGAAUAGUUAUAUUUAAAAUUUUUUAAAAAAAAAUAUAUUAAGUCAAGGUGCAUCUAAUAAUUAUGAAUGAAGUGAAUUACAUUAAUUUUAAUGUAAUUUUUUACAUGAAAAAAUUAAUUAGGAUUUAAUAGUAAAAUACUAAUAUUAUGAGUAUUUGAAUCAAGCUCUAAAAUAUGCACAUAUCGCCCGUCGCUCUCAGAAGUGAGAUAAGUCGUAACAAAGUAAAAAUACUGGAAAGUGUUUUUUAAAAUGAAAUCAUUCGAUGUUUCAUUUACAAUGAAAAUUUUGUUAUUUAACCAUUUUAA